GACGAACGCUGGCGGCGUGCCUAACACAUGCAAGUCAGGGAUUGAAGGGUAGCAAUACUUUUCAAGACCGGCGCACGGGUGAGUAACACGUAGGUAAUCUACCCUUAGGCGGGGAACAACCCCGAGAAAUCGGGGCUAAUACCGCAUAAUGCAACGAGACCACAUGAUUUUGUUGUUAAAGAUCCGCAAGGAUCACCAGAGGAUGAACCUGCGUCCGAUUAGCUAGUUGGCGGAGUAANAGCCCACCAAGGCGACGAUCGGUAGCCGACCUGAGAGGGUGAUCGGCCACACUGGAACUGAGAUACGGUCCAGACUCCUACGGGAGGCAGCAGUGAGGAAUAUUGGUCAAUGGCCGAAAGCUGAACCAGCAACGCCGCGUGAGGGAUGAAGGUCUAAGGAUUGUAAACCUCUGUUAGG
RNAcentral lists this ribosomal RNA (417 nucleotides) under uncultured bacterium. Its description in RNAcentral is "bacterial SSU rRNA". It matches the Rfam family "Bacterial small subunit ribosomal RNA", at positions 28 to 440 of the family's 1533-position model. The record is from RNAcentral.